UUUAAGCUUAAUUUUUCACAAGAAAAAUAUUUCAGAUAUAUAAGCAGUCUUAAAGACCAUCAUUUAAAUUCCCUUUGGCAUAAGAUGAAACUGAAACACAAGCAAAGUAAGUAAUGGUAAUGAUCUCAACAUCAAACAGCUAGUUAAUGUCUACUAAUUCAUUUUAAAAGUUUAAUUCAAGAUUAUGAUAGUUUUUUCAUAUCUAGGAAGAUAUUAAUGGAAGAGGGAAAGAAGACCCCUGUUACCACAUUCUCUGAAAACCAUUGUACACCUCAUCUCUUGGCUACCCUUAAACUUGAAAAGAAUCAUCAAUGUCUAAUGGGAAAACGAAUGUCAAGAGAUCAAGUGAUGUCUCAGGAUGCAAUGGAUUAGGACAGGGCCUCUUCAAUGUCUAAGUAAGUUUUAAAACUUCCAGAUUUCCUGCUUGCAUUGUUUUCAUGGAAUAAAUCCCUUUCAUCCAUCCCUCCCCCCA
RNAcentral lists this long non-coding RNA (472 nucleotides) under Monodelphis domestica (gray short-tailed opossum). RNAcentral's name for it is "lncRNA (ENSMODG00000041571.1)". Lineage: Eukaryota; Metazoa; Chordata; Mammalia; Didelphimorphia; Didelphidae. The record is from RNAcentral.